Molecule: small nuclear RNA, 333 nt
Filed under: Saimiri boliviensis boliviensis (Bolivian squirrel monkey)
Lineage: Eukaryota; Metazoa; Chordata; Mammalia; Primates; Cebidae
Description: 7SK RNA (ENSSBOG00000013100.1)
Rfam family: 7SK RNA
About the family: 7SK was discovered as an abundant small nuclear RNA in the mid-70s but a possible function has only recently been suggested. Two independent studies have found that 7SK RNA binds the CDK9/cyclin T complex (known as elongation factor P-TEFb). P-TEFb activates transcription by phosphorylating the C-terminal domain of RNA polymerase II.
Source: Rfam by way of RNAcentral
GGAUGUGAGGGUGAUCUAACUAUAACAUAUGUCAUCCCAUUGAUCACCAGGGUUGAUUCAGCUGAUCUGGCUAGCCAGGUGAAAGUCCCCUUCCCUCCUCACCACUCCAUGUGUGUCACUCCUGAAGCUGCAUGAUCACUCGAAGAGGGUGACUAUCCCUUGCCGAGGAGGACCGUUGUUUGAUCAAGGGCAUAUGAAUAGCUGUGCUCCUCUGCUCGAACCUCCAAACGAGCUCUCAAAAUUAAUCCUAUGCCCACUAUAACUAUUGAAGGAAUUUGGGUAUAAAACAUAAUGUGACCAAAUUUGCAAUUUUACUUCUGAGUUUUGGUUUAC